UAUCUCUGUAGAGUCUGCAUAUCAAUAAGCGGAGGAAAAGAAACUAACUAGGAUUCCCUUAGUAACGGCGAGUGAAGCGGGAAGAGCUCAAAUUUGAAAUCUUCAAGGUUCUACCUUGACGAAUUGUAGUUUAAAGAAGUGUUUUCGGUUAGAUGGAGUAGUAAAAGUUCUUUGGAAUAGGACAUCAUAGAGGGUGAGAAUCCCGUAUUUGGUCAUUCCUUCCUAGCGUUGUGAUACACUUUCAAAGAGUCGGAUUGUUUGGGAAUGCAGUCCAAAAUGGGUGGUAAAUUUCAUCUAAAGCUAAAUAUUGGCGAGAGACCGAUAGCGAACAAGUACCGUGAGGGAAAGAUGAAAAGAACUUUGAAAAGAGAGUUAAACAGUACGUGAAAUUGUCAAAAGGGAAGCGUUUGACACCAGUGUUGUUUUUCCGAAAAUCAAUUAAGAAUGUUUUAUUUUUGAGGAGUUAUGACUUCAUCGGCUUGCUCCUUUCUUUAUGGAACUUUCUUAAUGCACUUUUCGGUUAACAAGUCAACAUCAAUUUCUUUUGUUGUAAAAGAGUAUGAGGAAGGUGGCUUUCUUUUCGGAGAAAGUGUUUAUAGCCUUGUACUUCUGCAAUCGGAGAGAUUGAGGUCUGCAGCGUAGAUCCUUCGGGGUUAGAUACACUUGUGCUAAGUUAUAGCUUUUCAUAGACAACUUGUUGAUUAUGAUUAGUCUUGUAGCUUACUCGCUUGUGCUAUUUUACCUACGCUUAGGAUGUUGAGUAGCGACAUACGCAC
RNAcentral lists this ribosomal RNA (776 nucleotides) under uncultured Neocallimastigales. RNAcentral describes it as "partial large subunit ribosomal RNA". It matches the Rfam family "Eukaryotic large subunit ribosomal RNA", at positions 24 to 649 of the family's 3401-position model. Lineage: Eukaryota; Fungi; Neocallimastigomycota; Neocallimastigomycetes; Neocallimastigales. The record is from RNAcentral.